ACCAUUUAGUGGGGAAUAACUGUUGGAAACGACAGCUAAUACCGCAUAAUAUUGCUGGAUAAUUUCCAGUAAUGAAAGGAGCUUUCAAGCUCCGCUGAUUGAUGAGGAUGCGGCGCAUUAGCUAGUUGGUAGGGUAAUGGCCUACCAAGGCAAUGAUGCGUAGCCGAUCUGAGAGGAUGAACGGCCACAUUGGGACUGAGACACGGCCCAAACUUCUACGGAAGGCAGCAGUAGGGAAUUUUUCACAAUGGGCGAAAGCCUGAUGGAGCAAUGCCGCGUGACUGAUGAAGGUCUUCGGAUUGUAAAGGUCUGUUGUAAGGGAAGAAAUGGUAAAACAGGAAAUGGUUUUAUCUAUGACGGUACCUUACCAGAAAGCCACGGCUAACUAUGUGCCAGCAGCCGCGGUAAUACAUAGGUGGCAAGCGUUAUCCGGAUUUAUUGGGCGUAAAGGGUGCGUAGACGGUUUUGCAAGUCUGAGGUUAAAUUUAGGAGCUCAACUCCUAAUCGCCUUGNAAACUACAAGACUAGAGUAUAGGAGAGGUUAGUGGAAUUCCNUGUGUAGCGGUGGAAUGUGUAGAUAUAUGGAGGAACACCAGUGGCGAA
RNAcentral lists this ribosomal RNA (603 nucleotides) under uncultured Spiroplasma sp. RNAcentral's name for it is "bacterial SSU rRNA". It matches the Rfam family "Bacterial small subunit ribosomal RNA", at positions 128 to 719 of the family's 1533-position model. The record is from RNAcentral. Lineage: Bacteria; Bacillati; Mycoplasmatota; Mollicutes; Entomoplasmatales; Spiroplasmataceae.